GAAGAUUGAGAAAAAACCAAAGGCUCGAGUCUAACUGUCUAUAUAGGAAUCAAUGCACAUGACAAAACAACUCAUCAAAACAAUGACUAUAUAUAAAAAUCGUCUUAAAAGGACACUUCAAAGCUAAAACCAAAAAACUGAUCUUGGUUGAUGGAAACUACUUGUAUGAAAAUAAGACAAUAAGUUCAACCCAAUAAAAAAUAGAAUCCAACAGUCGAACCCAAUGCAAAUAAACCAAAUGAACAAGGC
This 249-nucleotide long non-coding RNA is filed under the name Salvia miltiorrhiza (redroot sage). RNAcentral describes it as "long non-coding RNA (SMIL_LNC003606)". The record is from RNAcentral. Lineage: Eukaryota; Viridiplantae; Streptophyta; Magnoliopsida; Lamiales; Lamiaceae.